GACGUAGGAUGCGAGCGUUGUCCGGAUUUAUUGGGCGUAAAGAGUUCGUAGGCGGUUCGUUAAGUUCGAUGUUAAAGAUCGGGGCCCAACCCCGGGACUGCAUUGAAUACUGGCGGACUGGAGUGCAGUAGAGGCAAGUGGAAUUCCCAGUGUAGUGGUGAAAUACGUAGAGAUUGGGAAGAACACCAGUGGCGAAGGCGGCUAUCUGGACGGUUUCUGACGCUAAGACGCGAAAGCGUGGGGAGCAAACAGG
Molecule: ribosomal RNA, 253 nt
Filed under: uncultured bacterium
Lineage: Bacteria
Description: partial 16S ribosomal RNA
Rfam family: Bacterial small subunit ribosomal RNA
Source: RNAcentral